Molecule: long non-coding RNA, 272 nt
Filed under: Oryza brachyantha (malo sina)
Lineage: Eukaryota; Viridiplantae; Streptophyta; Magnoliopsida; Poales; Poaceae
Description: long non-coding RNA (OBRA_LNC002830)
Source: RNAcentral
CCAGCCCAAGCCUUAAUAGGAUUUGAUAGAUACUCAUACCAACAAGUUGCAACUUCUUUUCCGGAAGCUUAUCUCGAGAGAACUCCAAGGUUAAGUGUGCUUGGCCUGGAGUAAUCUUGGGAUGGGUGACCGACCGGGAAGUCAUUUCUCGGGUGCGCAUGAGUGAGGACAAAGUGCGCAGAAAAGACAUGUGUGUUGGUUGUGUGAGGGAAGUCUUGAUAUCCUAGAGCACAGGCCUGACCUAGGGGGGUUCCUAGGGUUGGGGCGUGAUA